GUUGGCAAGCAGAGUGUCUCCAAGAUGGCCGCUUGGGGAAGGAGGCGUCUUGGCCCGGGCAGCAGUGGCGGCAGCGCCCGAGAGAGGGAACCAACAGUGUUUGUAAUGAAGAACAUCAGACUCUGAGCUGUAACCUGAAUUCUUGUCCAAAAUUCAGCACACUGGCAACGAGCACAUCAAACAGAUUGCCACUUGUCCUGUCGGCGUCUUUGAGACACACUUGCCCAUCUAGGAAAGCACAGUGCAGGUAUCUGUGUUCUGCCACCGUGUGCCAGCCCGGACCAGCUCACAGACAGCCCCGCCUGUCUUACUUGGGCUGCUCGGCUUCACUCUCUCAGGGCCCCUGAACCUCCCUCAGCCCUCCGUGAUUGUUGGAAUGACUACGGGUACACACCAGCAUGACACCUCAGCCAUGAGAAGCUGCCCGCGUCCAGACUUCUGCCUUUCAUGGACACCGAGAAGGUUCUGGAACAGGAAGUGAGCCACCUCCCGCUCUUCUUGGCAGUGGAAGGAGGCCCUCCCACGGGGUGAGCUUGUCGGCCACAGACUGCUACAUUGUGCAUGAGAUCUACAAUGGGGAGAAUGCCCAAGACCAGUUUGAGUACGAGCUGGAGCAGGCCCUGGAAGCCCAGUACAAGUACAUUGUGAUUGAGCCCACUCGCAUCGGCGACGAGACGGCCCGCUGGAUCACCGUGGGCAACUGCCUGCACAAGACGGCCGUGCUGGCGGGCACCGCCUGCCUCUUCACCCCGUUGGCGCUGCCCUUAGAUUAUUCCCACUACAUUUCCCUGCCCGCUGGUGUGCUGAGCCUGGCCUGCUGCACCCUC
RNAcentral lists this small RNA (827 nucleotides) under Pongo abelii (Sumatran orangutan). RNAcentral describes it as "processed transcript". The record is from RNAcentral. Lineage: Eukaryota; Metazoa; Chordata; Mammalia; Primates; Hominidae.